Non-coding RNA from Caenorhabditis elegans, 47 nucleotides. Lineage: Eukaryota; Metazoa; Nematoda; Chromadorea; Rhabditida; Rhabditidae. The record is from Ensembl.
UGGCCUAGUUUUUUUUCUAGAUUUUUCUAGGCCACCAACUUCAAAUU